RNAcentral lists this small nuclear RNA (303 nucleotides) under Erinaceus europaeus (western European hedgehog). Its description in RNAcentral is "7SK RNA". It matches the Rfam family "7SK RNA". Rfam says of the family: 7SK was discovered as an abundant small nuclear RNA in the mid-70s but a possible function has only recently been suggested. Lineage: Eukaryota; Metazoa; Chordata; Mammalia; Eulipotyphla; Erinaceidae. The record is from Rfam by way of RNAcentral.
GGAUGUGAGGGCGAUCUGGCUGCGACAUCUGUCACCCCAUUGAUUGCCAGUGUUGAUUCUGAUGAUCUGGCUGGCCAGGCGGGUGCCCCCUUCCCCCCUCACCACUCCAUGUGUGUUCCUCCGGAAGCUGUGUGCUAGGUUGAAGAGGACGGCCUUCCCCUAAUACAGAGGGACCUGUCUUUGGUCGAGGGUAUAGGAGUAGCUGCGCUCCCCUAGAACCUCCAAACAAGCUCUGAAGGUCCAAAUAAUAGAGUCUCAUUCCUUCCUUCUCAUUGGAAUAUAUAUAUACCUGAUAUAUUGCUC